GACGAACGCUGGCGGCGUGCCUAAUACAUGCAAGUUGAGCGCUGAAGGUUGGUACUUGUACCAACUGGAUGAGCAGCGAACGGGUGAGUAACGCGUGGUGAAUCUGCCUUUGAGCGGGGAACAACAUUUGGUAACGAAUGCUAAUACCGCAUAAAAACUUUAAACACAAGUUUUAAGUUUGAAAGAUGCAAUUGCAUCACUCAAAGAUGAUCCCGCGUUGUAUUAGCUAGUUGGUGGGGUAAAGGCUCACCAAGGCGAUGAUACAUAGCCGACCUGAGAGGGUGAUGGGCCACAUUGGGACUGAGACACGGCCCAAACUCCUAGGGGAGGCAGAAGUAGGGAAGCUUCGGCAAUGGACGAAAGUCUGACCGAGCGACGCCGCGUGAGUGAAGAAGGUUUUCGGAUCGUAAAACUCUGUUGGUAGAGAAGAACGUUGGUGAGAGUGGAAAGCUCAUCAAGUGACGGUAACUACCCAGAAAGGGACGGCUAACUACGUG
RNAcentral lists this ribosomal RNA (497 nucleotides) under uncultured bacterium. RNAcentral describes it as "partial 16S ribosomal RNA". It matches the Rfam family "Bacterial small subunit ribosomal RNA", at positions 28 to 507 of the family's 1533-position model. The record is from RNAcentral.